AGCGAACGCUGGCGGCAGGCUUAACACAUGCAAGUCGAGCGGGCGUAGCAAUACGUCAGCGGCAGACGGGUGAGUAACGCGUGGGAACGUACCUUUUGGUUCGGAACAACACAGGGAAACUUGUGCUAAUACCGGAUAAGCCCUUACGGGGAAAGAUUUAUCGCCGAAAGAUCGGCCCGCGUCUGAUUAGCUAGUUGGUAGGGUAAUGGCCUACCAAGGCGACGAUCAGUAGCUGGUCUGAGAGGAUGAUCAGCCACAUUGGGACUGAGACACGGCCCAAACUCCUACGGGAGGCAGCAGUGGGGAAUAUUGGACAAUGGGGGCAACCCUGAUCCAGCCAUGCCGCGUGAGUGAUGAAGGCCCUAGGGUUGUAAAGCUCUUUUGUGCGGGAAGAUAAUGACGGUACCGCAAGAAUAAGCCCCGGCUAACUUCGUGCCAGCAGCCGCGGUAAUACGAAGGGGGCUAGCGUUGCUCGGAAUCACUGGGCGUAAAGGGUGCGUAGGCGGGUUUUUAAGUCAGGGGUGAAAUCCUGGAGCUCAACUCCAGAACUGCCUUUGAUACUGAAGAUCUUGAGUCCGGGAGAGGUGAGUGGAACUGCGAGUGUAGAGGUGAAAUUCGUAGAUAUUCGCAAGAACACCAGUGGCGAAGGCGGCUCAC
This 657-nucleotide ribosomal RNA is filed under the name Pseudomonadota bacterium. Its description in RNAcentral is "bacterial SSU rRNA". It matches the Rfam family "Bacterial small subunit ribosomal RNA", at positions 28 to 729 of the family's 1533-position model. The record is from RNAcentral. Lineage: Bacteria; Pseudomonadati; Pseudomonadota.